GACCCCAGGUCAGGCGGGAYUACCCGCUGAGUUUAA
RNAcentral lists this ribosomal RNA (36 nucleotides) under Scleromitrion diffusum. RNAcentral describes it as "Oldenlandia diffusa partial 28S ribosomal RNA". The record is from RNAcentral. Lineage: Eukaryota; Viridiplantae; Streptophyta; Magnoliopsida; Gentianales; Rubiaceae.